AGGCAGCAGGCGCGCAAAUUACCCAAUCCCGAUCCGGGGAGGUAGUGACAAUAAAUACUGAUACGGGGCUCUUUUGGGUCUCGUAAUUGGAAUGAGAACAAUUUAAAUCCCUUAACGAGGAACAAUUGGAGGGCAAGUCUGGUGCCAGCAGCCGCGGUAAUUCCAGCUCCAAUAGCGUAUAUUAAAGUUGUUGCAGUUAAAAAGCUCGUAGUUGAACCUUGGGUCUGGCUGGCCGGUCCGCCUCACCGCGAGUACUGGUCCGGCUGGACCUUUCCUUCUGGGGAACCCCAUGGCCUUCACUGGCUGUGGGGGGAACCAGGACUUUUACUGUGAAAAAAUUAGAGUGUUCAAAGCAGGCCUUUGCUCGAAUACAUUAGCAUGGAAUAAUAGAAUAGGACGUGCGGUUCUAUUUUGUUGGUUUCUAGGACCGCCGUAAUGAUUAAUAGGGAUAGUCGGGGGCGUCAGUAUUCAGCUGUCAGAGGUGAAAUUCUUGGAUUUGCUGAAGACUAACUACUGCGAAAGCAUUCGCCAAGGAUGUUUUCAUUAAUCAGGGAACGAAAGUUAGGGGAUCGAAGACGAUCAGAUACCGUCGUAGUCUUAACCAUAAACUAUGCCGACUAGGGAUCGGACGGGCUUCUAUGAUGACCCGUUCGGCACCUUACGAGAAAUCAAAGUUUUUGGGUUC
RNAcentral lists this ribosomal RNA (685 nucleotides) under fungal sp. CFK19. RNAcentral describes it as "SSU rRNA". It matches the Rfam family "Eukaryotic small subunit ribosomal RNA", at positions 423 to 1114 of the family's 1831-position model. Lineage: Eukaryota; Fungi. The record is from RNAcentral.